Molecule: ribosomal RNA, 460 nt
Filed under: uncultured bacterium
Lineage: Bacteria
Description: partial 16S ribosomal RNA
Rfam family: Bacterial small subunit ribosomal RNA
Source: RNAcentral
CCUACGGGUGGCAGCAGUGAGGAAUAUUGGUCAAUGGGCGCUAGCCUGAACCAGCCAAGUAGCGUGAAGGAUGACUGCCCUAUGGGUUGUAAACUUCUUUUAUAUGGGAAUAAAGUGCAGUAUGUAUACUGCUUUGCAUGUACCUUAUGAAUAAGGAUCGGCUAACUCCGUGCCAGCAGCCGCGGUAAUACGGAGGAUCCGAGCGUUAUCCGGAUUUAUUGGGUUUAAAGGGUGCGUAGGCGGUCAGGUAAGUUAGAGGUGAAAGCUCGAUGCUCAACAUCGAAACUGCCUCUGAUACUGUCUGACUAGAGUGUAGUUGCGGAAGGCGGAAUGUGUGGUGUAGCGGUGAAAUGCUUAGAUAUCACACAGAACAUCGAUUGCGAAGGCAGCUUUCCAAGCUAUUACUGACGCUGAGGCACGAAAGCGUGGGGAGCGAACAGGAUUAGAUACCCGUGUAGUC